GCAAGGGGAGCGGCAGACGGGAGAGUAACACGUGGGAACGUACCCUUUGGUUCGGAACAACCCAGGGAAACUUGGGCUAAUACCGAAUAAGCCCUUACGGGGGAAAGAUUUAUCGCCGAAGGAUCGGCCCGCGUCUGAUUAGCUAGUUGGUGAGGUAACGGCUCACCAAGGCGACGAUCCGUAGCUGGUCUGAGAGGAUGAUCAGCCACACUGGGACUGAGACACGGCCCAGACUCCUACGGGAGGCAGCAGUGGGGAAUAUUGGACAAUGGGCGCAAGCCUGAUCCAGCCAUGCCGCGUGAGUGACGAAGGUCUUCGGA
Molecule: ribosomal RNA, 320 nt
Filed under: uncultured bacterium
Lineage: Bacteria
Description: bacterial SSU rRNA
Rfam family: Bacterial small subunit ribosomal RNA
Source: RNAcentral